RNAcentral lists this transfer RNA (84 nucleotides) under Maribacter sp. RNAcentral's name for it is "tRNA-Leu". It matches the Rfam family "tRNA". Rfam says of the family: Transfer RNA (tRNA) molecules are approximately 80 nucleotides in length. Their secondary structure includes four short double-helical elements and three loops (D, anti-codon, and T loops). Lineage: Bacteria; Pseudomonadati; Bacteroidota; Flavobacteriia; Flavobacteriales; Flavobacteriaceae. The record is from RNAcentral.
GGCUUCGUGGUGGAAUGGUAUACACGGCAGACUCAAAAUCUGCUGCCUUAAGGCUUGUGGGUUCGAAUCCCACCGAAGCUACCA